This 391-nucleotide ribosomal RNA is filed under the name uncultured bacterium. RNAcentral's name for it is "bacterial SSU rRNA". It matches the Rfam family "Bacterial small subunit ribosomal RNA", at positions 100 to 507 of the family's 1533-position model. The record is from RNAcentral.
CGGGUGAAGUAACACGUGAACGGAACCUCGACCCCGAAGACCGGGACUAACCCUCCGAAAGGAGAGCUAAUACCGGACUACCCCACCGGAUCGCAUGAUCUGGUGAGGAAAUGGAUUCCGCUUCGGGAGGGCCUCGCGGCCUAUCAGCUAGUUGGUGGGGUAACGGCCCACCAAGGCAUCGACGGGUAGCUGGUCUGAGAGGACGAUCAGCCACACUGGGACUGAGACACGGCCCAGACUCCUACGGGAGGCAGCAGUGGGAAUCUUGCGCAAUGGGCGAAAGCCUGACGCAGCAACGCCGCGUGGGGAUGAAGGCUCUCGGGUUGUAAACCCCUUUCAGCAGGGACGAAUCAAGACGGUACCUGCAGAAGAAGCCCCGGCUAACUACGUG